RNAcentral lists this non-coding RNA (110 nucleotides) under Pteridomonas danica. Lineage: Eukaryota; Dictyochophyceae; Pedinellales. The record is from RNAcentral.
GAUAAAAACGAAGAAAAAACGAGAAAAAAAUUACAAUUAUGUGAGACAUAUAUCUUAAUGCCUUUUCUUUCUUUCUUUCUUCUUUCUUUCUUUCUUUCUUUCUUUCUUUC